AGAGGCGGACGGGUGAGGAAUAUUUGGGAAUCUGCCCAUCAGCGGGGGACAACCCGGGGAAACUCGGGCUAAUACCGCAUACGCUCUACGGAGGAAAGCCGGGGACCGCAAGGCCUGGCACUGAUGGAUGAGCCCAAAUCGGAUUAGCUAGUUGGCGGGGUAACGGCCCACCAAGGCGACGAUCCGUAGCUGGUCUGAGAGGACGAUCAGCCACACCGGAACUGAGACACGGUCCGGACUCCUACGGGAGGCAGCAGUGGGGAAUAUUGGACAAUGGGGGAAACCCUGAUCCAGCGACGCCGCGUGGGUGAAGAAGGCCUGCGGGUUGUAAAGCCCUUUCGGUAGGGAAGAAAUCUCUUGCUCUAACAAAGCAAGGGUUUGACUUAACCUACAUAAGAAGCACCGGCUAACUCUGUGCCAGCAGCCGCGGUAAUACAGAGGGUGCGAGCGUUAAUCGGAAUUACUGGGCGUAAAGCGCACGUAGUCGGCUUGCCAAGUCGGGUGUGAAAUCCCCGGGCUCAACCUGGGAACUGCAUCCGAAACUGGCUUGCUAGAGUAUGGGAGAGGGAGGCGGAAUUUCUGGUGUAGCAGUGAAAUGCGUAGAUAUCAGAAGGAACAUCAGUGGCGAAGGCGGCCUCCUGGACCAAUACUGACGAUCAGGUGCGAAAGCGUGGGGAGCAAACAGGAUUAGAUACCCUGG
This 700-nucleotide ribosomal RNA is filed under the name uncultured bacterium. RNAcentral describes it as "bacterial SSU rRNA". It matches the Rfam family "Bacterial small subunit ribosomal RNA", at positions 94 to 790 of the family's 1533-position model. The record is from RNAcentral.